UACACCAUCGCUAGCAGUGACAUUGACCCCUACUUCACUUAAUGAUUUCAAGUUAAAUUUAAUUCUUAAAAUGAAAGUAAAACAUACAGAAACAAAAAAUACUUGCUCUGUGGCAGUUGCGGAAGACAACAAAAUUUUGGCUCUAAAGUACUUACAUCUUUGGUUUGAAAAGAGAUCUAUCUGGAAGUUUAAAAAAAAUAGGCAAACUUACCUUUUACGAAAUUUAUAUGAUAAAAGAACGAUCUCAAAGUCUAAUUUUAAAAUACUUCUUGGAUAUUUAAAAGAUGUUAUGGGAUCAGCUAAAGAGCGAGUUUUGAAGGAAGCCAAAGAAAUUAUAAAUAGCUACAAAGAGGAAAAGAGUCAACUAAAUUAUAAUGAGGGGAAAACCUCGCUUGACUUAAGAUCAAAGAUUAUGAAAAGAAAAAUGCGACGGGCUAAAAAGGUUUUAAAACUUUUAUCGUAAAGCAGAAUAUUCUUAAGGAAAAAUAAAAAGGGGCGGCUAUC
Zophobas morio is the source of this 504-nucleotide long non-coding RNA. RefSeq lists it as uncharacterized. Lineage: Eukaryota; Metazoa; Arthropoda; Insecta; Coleoptera; Tenebrionidae. The record is from RefSeq and is a predicted model, not a curated record. The transcript has 4 exons.